RNAcentral lists this ribosomal RNA (402 nucleotides) under uncultured bacterium. RNAcentral describes it as "bacterial SSU rRNA". It matches the Rfam family "Bacterial small subunit ribosomal RNA", at positions 356 to 773 of the family's 1533-position model. The record is from RNAcentral.
GGGGAAUAUUGCACAAUGGGGGAAACCCUGAUGCAGCGACGCCGCGUGAGUGAAGAAGUAUUUCGGUAUGUAAAGCUCUAUCAGCAGGGACGAAUAAAUGACGGUACCUGACUAAGAAGCCCCGGCUAACUACGUGCCAGCAGCCGCGGUAAUACGUAGGGGGCAAGCGUUAUCCGGAUUUACUGGGUGUAAAGGGAGCGUAGACGGUGAUGUAAGUCAGAUGUGAAAGCCCGGGGCUCAACCCCGGGACUGCAUUUGAAACUAUGUUGCUGGAGUGCAGGAGAGGUAAGUGGAAUUCCUAGUGUAGCGGUGAAAUGCGUAGAUAUUAGGAGGAACACCAGUGGCGAAGGCGGCUUACUGGACUGUAACUGACGUUGAGGCUCGAAAGCGUGGGGAGCAAAC